AACGAACGCUGGCGGCAUGCCUAACACAUGCAAGUCGAACGAGACCUUCGGGUCUAGUGGCGCACGGGUGCGUAACGCGUGGGAACCUGCCCUUAGGUUCGGAAUAACUCCCCGAAAGGGGUGCUAAUACCGGAUAAUGUCUUCGGACCAAAGAUUUAUCGCCUUUGGAUGGGCCCGCGUUGGAUUAGCUAGUUGGUAGGGUAAAAGCCUACCAAGGCGAAGAUCCAUAGCUGGUAGGAGAGGAUGAUCAGCCACACUGGGACUGAGACACGGCCCAGAAUCCUACGCGAGGCAGCAGUGCGGAAUAUUGGACAAUGAGCGAAAGACUGAUCCAGCAAUGCCGCGUGAGUGAUGAAGGCCUUAGGGUUGUAAAGCUCUUUUACCCGGGAUGAUAAUGACAGUACCGGGAGAAUAAGCUCCGGCUAACUCCGUG
RNAcentral lists this ribosomal RNA (433 nucleotides) under uncultured bacterium. RNAcentral describes it as "partial 16S ribosomal RNA". It matches the Rfam family "Bacterial small subunit ribosomal RNA", at positions 29 to 507 of the family's 1533-position model. The record is from RNAcentral.